UACGGAGGAUGCAAGCGUUAUCCGGAAUCAUUGGGCGUAAAGCGUCCGCAGGUGGUUAAUCAAGUCUGCUGUUAAAGACAGAAGCUCAACUUCUGAUAGGCGGUGGAAACUGGUUAACUAGAGUACGGUAGGGGUUGAGGGAAUUCCCAGUGUAGCGGUGAAAUGCGUAGAUAUUGGGAAGAACACCAGUGGCGAAGGCGCUCAACUGGGCCGUAACUGACACUCAGGGACGAAAGCUAGGGUAGCGAAAGGG
RNAcentral lists this ribosomal RNA (253 nucleotides) under uncultured bacterium. RNAcentral's name for it is "partial 16S ribosomal RNA". It matches the Rfam family "Bacterial small subunit ribosomal RNA", at positions 524 to 776 of the family's 1533-position model. The record is from RNAcentral.